GUGCAAAGCUUCGGCGGUACAUAUACGAAAACUGGAAUAAUACAGAGAAGAUUAGAAUGACCCUGUACAGGUAUGACACAUGAAUUCGUGAAGCAUUCUAUAUCUUU
RNAcentral lists this small nuclear RNA (107 nucleotides) under Pan paniscus (pygmy chimpanzee). The record is from RNAcentral. Lineage: Eukaryota; Metazoa; Chordata; Mammalia; Primates; Hominidae.